This is a long non-coding RNA of Drosophila biarmipes, 384 nucleotides long. RefSeq lists it as uncharacterized. The transcript has 2 exons. The record is from RefSeq and is a predicted model, not a curated record. NCBI's taxonomy places the organism in Eukaryota, Metazoa, Arthropoda, Insecta, Diptera, Drosophilidae.
GCCGCUUCGAAAAUAUCCCAUUAUGUUCCCCAACCAAAUUUGACAGACUCUUUUAUGCGAUAGUUAGGCGAUGUUUUUUCGGUACAACUCUGAAUUAUUUUUUUAACAGUGAAAAUUAAAACAUUAUCUACUAUAACACAAACAAUGACGACGGGAAACAUUUGAAAACGAAAGGCCCCAAAGCUAUAUCGAUAAGAUGCGAACCGUCGGUGGAAAUCUGGUUCUUUUUUUUUCAGCAGCUGGCAAAAAUCUGUAGUUAUGAUAGUAGGUUUCGGUUGUGCGCCUGGCGUUGUGGUGUUCUUUUAAAAUGUUAUUGGAUUACCAUCCAUGGUGGAUGCUGGAAAACAAAAAUAAAUACUGAAAUAAAAACUAAAAUUUAUGAAA